This 114-nucleotide ribosomal RNA is filed under the name Eptatretus burgeri (inshore hagfish). Lineage: Eukaryota; Metazoa; Chordata; Myxini; Myxiniformes; Myxinidae. The record is from RNAcentral.
ACAAAUGGCGAUAUUCAUAUGCCCAAUAUCAUCUGAUCUCGGAAGCCAAGCAGGGUUUGGGCCUGGUUAGUACCUGGAUGGGAGACUGCCUAGGAACACCGGGUGUUGUUGGCU